Molecule: non-coding RNA, 72 nt
Organism: Cervus elaphus (red deer)
Lineage: Eukaryota; Metazoa; Chordata; Mammalia; Artiodactyla; Cervidae
Source: the annotation of a RefSeq genome assembly
UCCCUGCUGGCUCAGCAGGUAAAGCGUCUGCCUGCAAUGCAGGAGCCCUGGGUUCGAUCCCCAAGUUGGGAA